Molecule: ribosomal RNA, 1522 nt
Filed under: metagenome
Description: bacterial SSU rRNA
Rfam family: Bacterial small subunit ribosomal RNA
Source: RNAcentral
AGAGUUUGAUCAUGGCUCAGAUUGAACGCUGGCGGCAGGCCUAACACAUGCAAGUCGAACGGUAACAGGAAACAGCUUGCUGUUUCGCUGACGAGUGGCGGACGGGUGAGUAAUGUCUGGGAAACUGCCUGAUGGAGGGGGAUAACUACUGGAAACGGUAGCUAAUACCGCAUAACGUCGCAAGACCAAAGAGGGGGACCUUCGGGCCUCUUGCCAUCAGAUGUGCCCAGAUGGGAUUAGCUAGUAGGUGGGGUAACGGCUCACCUAGGCGACGAUCCCUAGCUGGUCUGAGAGGAUGACCAGCCACACUGGAACUGAGACACGGUCCAGACUCCUACGGGAGGCAGCAGUGGGGAAUAUUGCACAAUGGGCGCAAGCCUGAUGCAGCCAUGCCGCGUGUAUGAAGAAGGCCUUCGGGUUGUAAAGUACUUUCAGCGGGGAGGAAGGGAGUAAAGUUAAUACCUUUGCUCAUUGACGUUACCCGCAGAAGAAGCACCGGCUAACUCCGUGCCAGCAGCCGCGGUAAUACGGAGGGUGCAAGCGUUAAUCGGAAUUACUGGGCGUAAAGCGCACGCAGGCGGUUUGUUAAGUCAGAUGUGAAAUCCCCGGGCUCAACCUGGGAACUGCAUCUGAUACUGGCAAGCUUGAGUCUCGUAGAGGGGGGUAGAAUUCCAGGUGUAGCGGUGAAAUGCGUAGAGAUCUGGAGGAAUACCGGUGGCGAAGGCGGCCCCCUGGACGAAGACUGACGCUCAGGUGCGAAAGCGUGGGGAGCAAACAGGAUUAGAUACCCUGGUAGUCCACGCCGUAAACGAUGUCGACUUGGAGGUUGUGCCCUUGAGGCGUGGCUUCCGGAGCUAACGCGUUAAGUCGACCGCCUGGGGAGUACGGCCGCAAGGUUAAAACUCAAAUGAAUUGACGGGGGCCCGCACAAGCGGUGGAGCAUGUGGUUUAAUUCGAUGCAACGCGAAGAACCUUACCUGGUCUUGACAUACACGGAAGUUUUCAGAGAUGAGAAUGUGCCUUCGGGAACCGUGAGACAGGUGCUGCAUGGCUGUCGUCAGCUCGUGUUGUGAAAUGUUGGGUUAAGUCCCGCAACGAGCGCAACCCUUAUCCUUUGUUGCCAGCGGUCCGGCCGGGAACUCAAAGGAGACUGCCAGUGAUAAACUGGAGGAAGGUGGGGAUGACGUCAAGUCAUCAUGGCCCUUACGACCAGGGCUACACACAUGCUACAAUGGCGCAUACAAAGAGAAGCGACCUCGCGAGAGCAAGCGGACCUCAUAAAGUGCGUCGUAGUCCGGAUUGGAGUCUGCAACUCGACUCCAUGAAGUCGGAAUCGCUAGUAAUCGUGGAUCAGAAUGCCACGGUGAAUACGUUCCCGGGCCUUGUACACACCGCCCGUCACACCAUGGGAGUGGGUUGCAAAAGAAGUAGGUAGCUUAACCUUCGGGAGGGCGCUUACCACUUUGUGAUUCAUGACUGGGGUGAAGUCGAAACAAGGUAACCGUAGGGGAACCUGCGGUUG